AUAAAUUGACUUUCUGUGCCUGACCUGCAGGUGGCGGCCAUUCUGUUUCCUGGCCCUGGCUUCACUAAUUUAGGCCUGCUGGGCUCACGGGAAGCCCUUCAAAAAACGACUCCUUUCAGAUUAACAUGUAAAAUUUAAUUUCGGAGGUCCAGGCUGAGAUGAUGUCUAAAGCCAUUUACUAAGCCCGGCGGCCUCCCCGUCCUGGGGCUAAGGAGGCAGAAGCAGAGCUUUGAUCAUUAGCCGCUGAGAAAAUCUCAGCUUGCAUAUUAAGAGAAGUGGCAGCACUUUUAACCCCUUUGGGAUGAGGACAGCCGACAUGGAGACAGCUAAUCGGAUGUAGAACCUCCUAUGAACUUCAAGAGAACAUUCCCGGGAGGAGCAGGUUGUGGCUUUCUAGGAGACAGUGGGCCUGGCCUUGACUAUAACCACAUUUGCUCAGGAUGGCGGAGGAGGUGGCGGGGAGGAGGGGCUUAAACUCUACACGCAGAGUGGGAGCACAAACUGCUGGGACUUCUGCCACCUUUGAAGCCUGUUGUGAGGUUGUCUCUCCGCACAGGGCCCAGCUCUGGUUUUAACGAUCAGAAGGCCUGAAGGGGCUGUCUUCUCACCCCGAUGGGCCCUUGGCAGACUCGUGCCCUGCCUUGCACGGUUCUCU
This 655-nucleotide long non-coding RNA is filed under the name Mus pahari (shrew mouse). RNAcentral's name for it is "lncRNA (MGP_PahariEiJ_G0004678.1)". The record is from RNAcentral. Lineage: Eukaryota; Metazoa; Chordata; Mammalia; Rodentia; Muridae.